RNAcentral lists this small RNA (132 nucleotides) under Salmonella enterica. RNAcentral describes it as "RtT sRNA". It matches the Rfam family "RtT RNA". From Rfam's summary of the family: This family represents a bacterial cis-regulatory element known as RtT RNA. The exact function of RtT is unknown although it is thought that it may be involved in changing the cellular response in relation to amino acid starvation. The record is from RNAcentral. Lineage: Bacteria; Pseudomonadati; Pseudomonadota; Gammaproteobacteria; Enterobacterales; Enterobacteriaceae.
GUCUGCACUUGUCGGGGAAGGGUGAGAAGCUUCGACUAAGGUUCGAUUCGAGCGAAAGCGAGAAAGCGUUGCCGCAGGCAACGACCCGAAGGGUGAGGAGAGAAGCGACGAAUAAUCCUUCCCCCACCACCA